AACGAACGCUGGCGGCAUGCCUAACACAUGCAAGUCGAACGAGACCUUCGGGUCUAAUGGCGCACGGGUGCGUAACGCGUGGGAACCUGCCCUUAGGUUCGGAAUAACUCCCCGAAAGGGGUGCUAAUACCGGAUAAUGUCUUCGGACCAAAGAUUUAUCGCCUUUGGAUGGGCCCGCGUUGGAUUAGCUAGUUGGUAGGGUAAAAGCCUACCAAGGCGACGAUCCAUAGCUGAUCUGAGAGGAUGAUCAGCCACACUGGGACUGAGACACGGCCCAGACUCCUACGGGAGGCAGCAGUGGGGAAUAUUGGACGAUGGGCGAAAGCCUGAUCCAGCAAUGCCGCGUGAGUGAUGAAGGCCUUAGGGUUGUAAAGCUCUUUUACCCGGGAUGAUAAUGACAGUACCGGGAGAAUAAGCUCCGGCUAACUCCGUG
This 433-nucleotide ribosomal RNA is filed under the name uncultured bacterium. RNAcentral's name for it is "partial 16S ribosomal RNA". It matches the Rfam family "Bacterial small subunit ribosomal RNA", at positions 29 to 507 of the family's 1533-position model. The record is from RNAcentral.